Non-coding RNA from Corylus avellana, 844 nucleotides. NCBI's taxonomy places the organism in Eukaryota, Viridiplantae, Streptophyta, Magnoliopsida, Fagales, Betulaceae. The record is from RefSeq and is a predicted model, not a curated record.
GAGAAGAAAUGGCCGGAAGUUUGAGGAUUUUCAUGCUCUUGCUAGCGACGGUUGUUUUAACCAUGUGGCCGGAGGUGAGAAUGGGCAGUGCAGCAAUAAGCGCUGCCCAAUGCAAGGAGGAGAGGAGGAUUGGGAUUAAUGCGUGCAAGGCGGUGAUAUAUGGUAAGCUUCCGACACCGGCAUGCUGCGAGCGCAUAAGGGUUACUCAUAUCGAGUGCGUGUGCCCCGAUGUUACACCAAAGUUGGCUGCCCUUAUUGACAUCAACCGCGCCAUACGCCUGGUUGAAGGUUGUGGUAGGAGGGUCCCUCACCACUUCAAAUGUGGGAGUAUCACUACUCCAUAAAUUAAAGUUGGCCAACGUGGUUGAAGGAAGGCUGGGCAACCUUGGAUUAACAAAUAAGAAUGGUUAUGAGUAAUUGGUUCACAGCCUCAUGAUGAUUAUGUAAUGUACUCUUUUCAAACAAAUAAUACUUCCCCUAGCCCAAAGCACAAAGUGAGCAAUAUUGAUAAGAGCACAUCUAAACGCUUCAAUAAAUGAUCCUAUUGAUCUUACCGUGCUUUUUCUUCAACUUCUGUUCGGAGGUUGUUGCUGUUACCUUGCAGAAGUUUGGGUAGGAUUAAAGCUAUCCGUUUUUUCUAUCUUGGUAUUUAAACCACUUUUUGCAGUCCUUAUUGGGAGGAUCGAGACAUUUUAUGACCAUUUUUCUAUUGUUUACUUGUAUUUCUUGCGCUGUAAUUUUUUUGUUGAGUUUGUUGUUGGGAGUCCACCUAUUUUUUAGUGUUUUAAUCCAUGUAACCUUUUCCCUUAUUUGCUUAAGAAGAAAAAAAAGAAAAGAAAAAGAA